AAUUAUCCGAUCUGGAAACAACUCGAGACGGUAGAAAGAAGAGAUAAAUAAGUUAGAGAACGAAAGUAGAAAGCUCUAAUAAAUAAAGGUACCAAAAAAAUUUAUUAGACCACCAAGAUUAAAAGAGAAAUUAAUCAAGGCGCUAAAAGAAAAAACUCAAUUUUAGACACUUUCGAACUCGAACUAAA
This 188-nucleotide non-coding RNA is filed under the name unclassified sequences. The record is from Rfam.